Molecule: long non-coding RNA, 1144 nt
Organism: Polistes canadensis
Lineage: Eukaryota; Metazoa; Arthropoda; Insecta; Hymenoptera; Vespidae
Exons: 3
Source: RefSeq, a predicted model, not a curated record
AAGCGCGGAAAGAGUGCCGGCUGUUAUUUAAAAUAAAUUCGAACUUAUAGGUGAAUCCGAGUGCAGCGCCAUGAACAAACGAAAGAAAGCAAAGGAAACCCGCUAAAACGAUCUUUUUCACGGUGCGAUAGAAAUGAUCCUAUAUUUAACGCGAGUUUUUAACUCAUUGUCAGCCGUGCAGUUAACAUUACCCUCUCCUACCGUCGAGAAAACACGAGUUUUUUCUUUCUUCUUCUUUUUCUUGUCUCACAUAGAAACACACGAGUAAGGUUUGUUCGUGUUAGAAGAAGUAAGAAAAAUAACAAGAGGAAAAAGAAGAAGUAGAAGAAGAAACAUCCAAUAUAGUGACUAAACUUGUCUUUCUCUUUAUAAAUACAUACUUAUAUAUACAAGUAUAUAUAUACAUAUUUAUAUAUAUACAUAGCAUAUAUACGUGUUCGUCCGUCUCUUGUUACGCGAGUGCGCGAGUCGUGCAUCGGUUGGAGAGUUUGAUAAUAAAAGUCUGAUGGCAGUCGUGUGACGGUGCAUCUCGGGUGAUAUUAUCCCGACUAUCAACAAAUCUUUCAUUCCUGACGAGAAUGUACGAAUACAGGGAAAAGUGCAAGAAAAUCAAUGUUAGACGAGUAACGACAAGUAUUGGUUUCGAAGAAGAACGAACGAACGAACGAACGAACGUGUGUGCCAGAGAGAGAAAGAAUAUCGCGCUGCAGUUUUAACCUAAUUUCGUAGUUCGUAUGGAGACGCAAGGAACUCCAAUCGAUAGAUUUAAAGGAGCAGAGUGACACAAACGACCUCGAUCCUCCCGACCACUAGGAUUAUUCCAACGUCCUCUCCUACCCCGUGUACUUACAACGCCUUUGGCUGGUGAUCGUGGUGGUUUCCCUAGUGGAAACCAGAAACUUGAUACUACGUCACGGUGAGUUUUAAAAAACUAGAAUUUUUAUUUUUCUAGAAUGACAAUCCUUAACGAAGGAUCAUGCACAAAUUAACAAGACAUACUAAUGUUAAAAAAGCAUUGUUUUAAUACUACUAUGAAAUAAUUUUAUUCGACAACAUUCUACUUUUUUAUAUUCCAUUCGAUAACAACGUAUCAAUAAUUAUCAUCAUAUCUAAACUUUUUCCUGUACGUAUACAUAUAUAAAUA